This 897-nucleotide ribosomal RNA is filed under the name Triticum aestivum (bread wheat). RNAcentral describes it as "partial small subunit ribosomal RNA". The record is from RNAcentral. Lineage: Eukaryota; Viridiplantae; Streptophyta; Magnoliopsida; Poales; Poaceae.
AUGGUAGUCUUAGCUCGCAAACAUAUCAAGGUUUCACCCCUUUGUCCCGUGUGCAAGUCUGGUCUGGAAGACAUUAAGCACUUGAUUUUCAGCUGCCCUAGAGCGAUGUCAGUAUGGCAUGCACUUGGCUUGGAUGAUGUUGUUAAACAUGCCCUUACAGUGGAUCGCUCCGGUUAUGUCAUUCUAGAAGAACUACUGCGAAGACCACGUGGUUCUUCGCCGGUGCUUGGCCAAUUGGGACUACAUGAAACACUGGCUGUGGCAGCGUGGUAUAUCUGGUGGGAAAGGAGAGAAUCAUGCAAGGGGCAAAUGGUCAAAACUCCAAGGAGCACAGCUUUUGCCUUUCAUGCAAUAACAGGCAAUUCGACAGCUAAGCCAAGGGACAACAUUGCUGUGAAGUUUACGUGGGAAAAAACAGGCCAAAGAUCAUACAAACUGAACACUGACGCCUCGUUCUUUGAAAACGGCGUCGGAGCAAUUGCUGCGAUCAUUAGGAACUGUCGAGGAGAAGCAGUGGCGGGAGUGGCAGAACUGUUCACAUAUGCUGAUAGCGCGACUGCAGCAGAAGCGUUGGCUCUUCGCCGAGGUCUACAACCUGUCAAUCAAAUGGGUUGCUCCAGGGUGACGGUAGAGUCAGAUUGUUUGGAGAUUAUUUCGGCAUGUAGAGGCGAGGCUGACAUUUUGGCACCAUAUUCUGCGAUCUUAGCAGAUUGCUUCCGGUAUGCCCAUGAUAUUGCUUCAAUUCAGUUUCAGCAUUGUCCGAGGGAGGCAAAUGGUUUGGCACAUUUCUUAGCAAGACAUGCUUUUGAUUCAAACCUGAUGUUUACUUGGGACGAUGAUCCCCCUAGUUUCCUUUUACCGCAUGUUUUGAAGGAUGUAAUUUUCAUUAACUCAUAA